Molecule: ribosomal RNA, 253 nt
Filed under: uncultured bacterium
Lineage: Bacteria
Description: partial 16S ribosomal RNA
Rfam family: Bacterial small subunit ribosomal RNA
Source: RNAcentral
UACGUAUGGUGCAAGCGUUAUCCGGAUUUACUGGGUGUAAAGGGAGCGUAGGCGGCGCGUUAAGUCUGAUGUGAAAACCCGAGGCUCAACCACGGGAGUGCAUUGGAAACUGGCGGGCUGGAGUGCCGGAGAGGUAAGCGGAAUUCCUAGUGUAGCGGUGAAAUGCGUAGAUAUUAGGAGGAACACCAGUGGCGAAGGCGGCUUACUGGACUGUAACUGACGUUGAGGCUCGAAAGCGUGGGGAGCAAACAGG